GUCACCUCACAGAGGAUCUUCCCACAGACGCUCCUCUUCUCGUUCUAAUUCAAAGUCUUCUAAUUCGAAAUCUUCUCGCUCCUACUCUCGCUCUUCAAGCAGGUCCAGAUCUCGGUCCAGGUCCAGGUCCCAAGGCAGAUCAAGGUCAUUUUUCUUUGUAUUUAUUCUAUUUUCUUUCUUUUUUUUUACCAUAACAUUAUUCAUACAAAGUACAACAUUGACACUGUUGCCCCUCUCUUUCAUAGACGAUGGGAAAUGAAAUGAGGCGACUGAAACUAAAUGCUGCCUUAAGUGUGCGAUAUAUGACACAAAUGUUUUCUUCUUUCUUUCUUUUUUCCAGACCCCACUCAUCUUACUCCCACCACAGGGACCCCCCCACCCGCUCUAAUUCCUCCCACUCCUAUAGUUAUGGUUACAAACGUUCUCCUACACCGUCCUCGUCUUCUUCACCUCGAGUGGCUUACCAUUCCAGGUCCAAGUCCCCGUCAGAUCACCGCAAAAACAGCCAUCACAGUCGGCACCACAAUAAGAAAUCGUCUUCGAGCAGCCACGACUCCAGGAGGCGAGGUGAACAUCACGGCUCAGGGGGAAGUUUAGCUAGUAACAUGUAUGCUCAGCAUGCAAAUCAAAGUAGCAGCCUGGACCUGGACAGAGAGCGCUACCUGCAGUGGAAAGGCGAGUACAAAGAGUGGUGUGAUAAAUAUUUCAGCAGCUAUGUCGGCCAUUUCCACCAGAUGCCUCUUCCCCUCCUCAAUCUUCUUCGUCCUCCUCAGUGGGGGAACAGAGAAGAAAGCGGACAUCCCUUACACGCUAACUCGGACUCUCACAACCAACUCCAAGGUAGACGCACCGCCCGACUGGACGGACGCUCCCCUCCAUCGCAGUCAUCCAGUGACAGCCGCUCCCCUCCGUCUCAGUCUUCACGUUACAGACGCUCCACGCCCUCUCAGUCAUCCAGUGACAGCCACUCCUCUCCGUCUCAUUCUUCCAGCGACAGCCGGUCCCCUCCCUCUCAGUCGUCCAGCGACGGGCGCUCAACACCAUCCGAAGACGGAGCUCAGCCGAGGGCAAGUCAGCAGAGUCGCACUGAGAAGUACAGCCGCCUGCCAAUCGCAUUUCCAAAGGGCAGUGAGGAAGUGGAUCUGCAAGAAGGAUGCAAAGACAAGCUAAUCACCAAGAAUUUGGAGAACCGCAGCAGCUUAAAACAUGAGCAAAAGAGCAUGAAGAAAUAUGAGAAAGAUAGAAAAGAGGAGUCAGACUCGACAGAGGACUGCAGAAAGGAGAAGAGGAGGCACAACCCUGGAACAAAGGCCUGCAAGGGUGGCAGCCCAGCACGGGACGAAGCAACUGCCAGUGAUGCCUUAGAAUCUGCCCGACCUCUCCUGAAACCAGAUAAACGUUUGGAUAAAGACUAUGAAAGAAAACGCAGAGAACAAAAUAAUUCAGAAAUGGAGAAAGGAUGUAGAAGAGGCGAACAUUCAGACUCCAGGAAGGAUGUGGGGAGACGGCACCGAGAAAAGCCCAAGAAAGAGGCAGGCAGAGUGGACACGGACAGAUACAGAGACCCUGGAGGAAGCAGAGCUUCUGACUCCAGAUCAGAGAAGAAUAGAAAAAGAAAACGAGAGGACACGGAGAGAGGUUUUGUGAAGGCUCAAAGCAGCAAAUGCCUUAAGGACCCCGAAACCCCCAAGAGUGAAUCCCCAAAUCCAUUUGACAGAAAGAAGCCAAAGAUGGAGAAGAAAAUGGACAGGAAACCCUGGCCUUUGACAGAGAGAGACAUCUGGGAGGGAGGGAUAAAGGUAAAACCACAGAAGAAGAUAAGCAUCAACAUAAACCUGGAAGGGAAAAUGAAGGAUGAGAGCGUUACAGGAAAAACUCAAUCAGAAAUUGAUGCUGGUAAUAGAACAGAAAUAGAAGCAAAUGAAAAGAAGGAAUCCAGCAGAGACAUGGAAGGUGUGUCUGGAGAACAAAUAAAACCAGAAGGAGAGGCAAGACAGAAAUGGGAGAAAGCUACCUUCAGGGAUGAUGCAGGAGAGGAAAAAGACAUUGGAGAGAAGAAAGACGUCAGAGAAAAGGAGGACUUUGACGUAUGGCAUAGUCCCCGCAGAGAAGUGGAGGAGGAGAGUAAAAAACAGUGGGAUGAAAGAGACGGGAUGGCGGCCAGCAAAGGAGAAGAGGUGACAAAUGACAGGAGGAGGAGCGUGAGGAGAGGAAAGGAAGGACAAGCGACCGGAGAGUUGGUCGCAGAAACCCGGGAGGAGAGGGCAGAGGGAGAAAGCCCAUUCAAGGUAAACAGAGGAAACUUGCCGGGGGAGUCAAAACCAGAGGAGGCGCCGAUGGAGGGAGGGAAGUGGAGGGAAGAAGGAGACACUAUGAGGUCCAAGUCCCAGAAGGGCAGAAACAAGGGCCGCCAUGACGGACCGAAAACUGCGUUGGACGGUGGCAGCUAUGAGGAUCUUCAGGAGAAGAAGACGGAGGUGACAACACUGGAGGAAUACACCCAGGACAGAGCUGCAGACCAAGAGGACAAGCUCGUAGUCACACAGGUCCCUCGCUCCAAAUGGGAAAAGGAAAAAUCUGAGGAAGGAGCAAUCGAAGUUCAAGCGGAUGCUCUUGCAACAUUUCUGCCUUCACCGUCCAUGUCUGUGACCGCUGAGACAGCAACCACCAUUGAAACAGAUCAUGGGGGAAAGAGAGAGAGGGCAGUGGAAAUAGAGAGAGGAAGGUACAGGGAGAGAGAGAAAACUCCCAUUUUGUCCACUUCACAGAGUAGUGUGGCUCCCUCUAGUGGCAGAGACCGAACUGACAGAGACGGGGAGAAGAGGAUGGAUAGACGGAGGGACAGGGAGAGGGAGAGGGAGAGAUCGAGGAAUAGGCCUAAAGAGAGCAAACGAUCGAAAGAGAGAACAAGGGAGGGAGAGACAGGGAGGGAGCAAGGCAGGUUUGCCUCGGCCCCGAAGAGGAAUCCCCCUUCCUCCUCUCACUCCUACUCCUACUCUUAUUCAAUGUCACAUGACACAGAGAGGAAAGACAGGCAGCGAGAGGGCGACCCAGUCGGGAAAUUCUCCGGUGGCAGCAGCAGGGAAAACGGCGUGAUAAGCAGAGCUACCAAACUGCCUGAUGAAAAGGUCCAUAAGACGUAUAGAGACACGUUACUGGGCUCAAACUUUAAAGACAAAGACCAUACCCACAAUGACCAAGAAGAGGGAGGGAGAGAGCUGGAGGAAGGGGAGAGGCGCAGCAGCCGCAGCAACAGCACCAGUUCGUCAGCUAGCAGGGAGAACGGCAGGGGCGACGGGAGAAAAGAGAAGAAACAAAAGAAGCACAAACAGGAGAAGAGGCAAGCCGCCCCGGAGCUGCUGAAGAAACAGAAACUCGAGAAGAAGACGUCAAAGAAGAGCAGAGAUGGGAGAGGAGAGGAGAGUAGUGGAGAGGAGGAUGACGCCAAGCUCUGCUCAGUUAUGUUGUCUUGACUGUCGUAGAAGAAACAUUUUACCUACUUGAAUGAUGUUUUUCCUUUCUGUCCAAAAAGUGCCUGGAUACUUUUUUUUUUCAACUUUGUUUUCCCAGGAUACUUUUUGUAUCGCCUUAAGAUAUCUCCUAUCAAAUAUGCAUCAUCCAAAAUGAAAGUGAACAACUUGUGAAGGAAAAGCACUUUAUACUACAUAUAAGAAAAAUUAAUGUGAAUGAAAGCAAAUGUUAAACCUUGGACAUCUUGAAUUAUUUAAAGUUCAAGGAAUUUGCACAUGCUCAGGACUGCCACCAACUAUGGUUUGAAUACUUAACCUGCAAUGUUACAGCUUGAUUGGAGGAAAUCUUACAUUUUGACGACACGUCAAUCAGUAAUUUGAUUUGCCUCACACAGAAGCACAGGAGUGCUUAUAGAGGAUUAUUGAGAAGAGUUUGUGAUUAAGUUUGAAACGUACUGUGAAUAUUUAUGAUUUCAACCUCUGUGUUGUAUUUUAUUUUUCCUUUUGUAAAUGUUUAAUUUAAAAUCAACUGCUGGAUGGAUAAAUAAUUUAACAGAGGAUAUUUGAGUUUUUCCUGUUUUGAAGGAAAUAAAAAGAUACAUCCAUAAAAUGUUUUGUUUUUUUCUGCUGCUGCACACGACAACAAUUCUUUGAGAGCAACAGUGUUUUUAGUCAUGAUAUAGUGAUAUGGCUCUAAUUAGCAAAUGUUUGAAUGUUAAAACCCUAAACUAAGAUUCAUUCCUGUGACAUUACGUGGGGGGGGGGGGGUCUGCAUCAAACAGGAAGUUGACUUUAUUAUAAGGUUAUAACAUUUGGAUGACUAAUAUAUUGUAGAUAUUAAUGAUGUAAUACUAAAUGUAUGCUGUAAUGUACCAAAAUUAUAUAUGUUUUAAUUAGGAUAUUUUCAUGCUUCAUGUAAAUUGGGACAAUGUUAAAAGGCUUUUUUAAAUAAAGUGAUAAAAUAAACUCAAAUCUAUGUCCACAG
Molecule: long non-coding RNA, 4455 nt
Filed under: Cottoperca gobio
Lineage: Eukaryota; Metazoa; Chordata; Actinopteri; Perciformes; Bovichtidae
Description: lncRNA (ENSCGOG00000020039.1)
Source: RNAcentral